GACGAACGCUGGCGGCGUGCCUAAUACAUGCAAGUAGAACGCUGAAGGAGGAGCUUGCUUCUCUGGAUGAGUUGCGAACGGGUGAGUAACGCGUAGGUAACCUGCCUGGUAGCGGGGGAUAACUAUUGGAAACGAUAGCUAAUACCGCAUAAGAGUAGAUGUUGCAUGACAUUUACUUAAAAGGUGCAAUUGCAUCACUACCAGAUGGACCUGCGUUGUAUUAGCUAGUUGGUGAGGUAACGGCUCACCAAGGCAACGAUACAUAGCCGACCUGAGAGGGUGAUCGGCCACACUGGGACCGAGACACGGCCCAGACUCCUACGGGAGGCAGCAGUAGGGAAUCUUCGGCAAUAGACGGAAGUCUGACCGAGCAACGCCGCGUGAGUGAAGAAGGUUUUCGGAUCGUAAAGCUCUGUUGUAAGAGAAGAACGAGUGUGAGAGUGGAAAGUUCACACUGUGACGGUAUCUUACCAGAAAGGGACGGCUAACUACGUG
Molecule: ribosomal RNA, 495 nt
Filed under: uncultured bacterium
Lineage: Bacteria
Description: partial 16S ribosomal RNA
Rfam family: Bacterial small subunit ribosomal RNA
Source: RNAcentral